CCUACGGGAGGCAGCAGUGAGGAAUAUUGGUCAAUGGGCGAGCGCCUGAACCAGCCAAGUCGCGUGAAGGAUGACGGCCCUACGGGUUGUAAACUUCUUUUGUCAGGGAGCAAUUGAGUCCACGUGUGGUCUUAGCGAGAGUAACUGAAGAAAAAGCAUCGGCUAACUCAGUGCCAGCAGCCGCGGUAAUACGGAGGAGGCGAGCGUUAUCCGGAUUUAUUGGGUUUAAAGGGUGGGUAGGCGGAAUAUCAAGUCAGCGGGAAAAAUUCGGGGCUCAACCCCGUCGUGCCGUUGAAACUGAUUAUCUUGAGUGGGCGAGAAGUAUGCGGAAUGCGUGGUGUAGCGGUGAAAUGCAUAGAUAUCACGCAGAACGCCGAUUGCGAAGGCAGCAUACCGGCGCCCAACUGACGCUGAAGCACGAAAGCGUGGGAAUCGAACAGGAUUAGAUACCCGAGUAGUC
RNAcentral lists this ribosomal RNA (460 nucleotides) under uncultured bacterium. Its description in RNAcentral is "partial 16S ribosomal RNA". It matches the Rfam family "Bacterial small subunit ribosomal RNA", at positions 338 to 795 of the family's 1533-position model. The record is from RNAcentral.